UAUAAGUUGGUUAACAACAAAGAGAAUAAUGGUGACAAUGACCAGAUGGUUAGAAAACAUUAAAAUGUAAUUUCCAGUGUCCCUCUAAAAAAACUUCUUUUUCUGUACUUCGGUUAUUCAAAAAAUAUACAACUCUUACAUACUUCUAUCAUCCUAGGAAAUUGCAAGUUCAAGGCUACACAUUUACUUCACAGCAGCAAAUCAAAGUAAACCAUAUCCUUACAUCAGUUUGAAGUCUAUCAUUUUUACAGACAGGACAGAACUAGAUCUACAGAGAAGAAAACAUAAAAGAGGCAAAAUUUUAAACAGCAGGAAAUCAAAAUGAAAGACCUGGUGUUUGGUCAGGCUUCUGCAAAUGGCAUGGGCUUUAUUGAUGUGAAGAUCAAAAGGCAGGUACAGUCCACAUCCCUAACAGUCGAUUCCUGCUUCUACAACAUCACUGUCAGUACCUGCAGUCUUGACAGUCUCACCAACUUUAUGCACAUUCACAAACUGACGAUAGUAACUACUUUGUAUAUACAUUCCCAAAACUGAAAACCAGGAAUCCACAUAUGCAAACGCUUAUUAACAAAGCAAAAAAGAGUGUAUCCUGCUUUCUGCAAUGAGUUCCAUAUAUUUAUACUUCAUAGUCUACAUAUACAUAAU
RNAcentral lists this long non-coding RNA (645 nucleotides) under Carica papaya (papaya). Its description in RNAcentral is "long non-coding RNA (CPAP_LNC013298)". The record is from RNAcentral. Lineage: Eukaryota; Viridiplantae; Streptophyta; Magnoliopsida; Brassicales; Caricaceae.